UACGUAGGGAGCAAGCGUUGUCCGGAAUUACUGGGUGUAAAGGGCGUGCAGCCGGGCUGACAAGUCAGAUGUGAAAUCCCGCGGCUCAACCGCGGAACUGCAUUUGAAACUGUCAGUCUUGAGUACCGGAGAGGUCAUCGGAAUUCCUAGUGUAGCGGUGAAAUGCGUAGAUAUUAGGAAGAACACCAGUGGCGAAGGCGGAUGACUGGACGACAACUGACGGUGAGGCGCGAAAGCGUGGGGAGCAAACAGG
RNAcentral lists this ribosomal RNA (253 nucleotides) under uncultured Oscillospira sp. Its description in RNAcentral is "partial 16S ribosomal RNA". It matches the Rfam family "Bacterial small subunit ribosomal RNA", at positions 524 to 776 of the family's 1533-position model. Lineage: Bacteria; Bacillati; Bacillota; Clostridia; Eubacteriales; Oscillospiraceae. The record is from RNAcentral.